RNAcentral lists this ribosomal RNA (498 nucleotides) under uncultured bacterium. RNAcentral's name for it is "partial 16S ribosomal RNA". It matches the Rfam family "Bacterial small subunit ribosomal RNA", at positions 28 to 507 of the family's 1533-position model. The record is from RNAcentral.
GAUGAACGCUGGCGGCGUGCCUAAUACAUGCAAGUCGAGCGAACUUUUGGGAGCUUGCUCCCAAAAGUUAGCGGCGGACGGGUGAGUAACACGUGGGUAACCUGCCUGUAAGACUGGGAUAACUUCGGGAAACCGGAGCUAAUACCGGAUAACAUUGACGACCACAUGGUCUUCAAUUAAAAGGUGGCUUUUAGCUACCACUUACAGAUGGACCCGCGGCGCAUUAGCUAGUUGGUGAGGUAACGGCUCACCAAGGCGACGAUGCGUAGCCGACCUGAGCGGGUGGACGGCCACAAUGGGAAUGAGACACGGCCAAGCAUCCUACGGGAGGCAACAGGAGGGGAGCAUCCGCAAUGGACGGAAGUCUGACGGCGAAAAGCCGCCGGAGCGAAGAAGGCCUUCGGGUCGUAAAGCUCUGUUGUUAAGGGAGAACAAGUAUCGUUCGAAUAGGGGGGUACCUUGACGGUACCUAACCAGAAAGCCACGGCUAACUACGUG